RNAcentral lists this RNase P RNA (253 nucleotides) under Gammaproteobacteria bacterium. Its description in RNAcentral is "partial RNase P RNA component class A". It matches the Rfam family "Bacterial RNase P class A", at positions 114 to 367 of the family's 367-position model. From Rfam's summary of the family: Ribonuclease P (RNase P) is a ubiquitous endoribonuclease, found in archaea, bacteria and eukarya as well as chloroplasts and mitochondria. Its best characterised activity is the generation of mature 5'-ends of tRNAs by cleaving the 5'-leader elements of precursor-tRNAs. The record is from RNAcentral. Lineage: Bacteria; Pseudomonadati; Pseudomonadota; Gammaproteobacteria.
GCAGAGAGUAGACCGCCUAAGUUUGUCGCGCUACGGUGCGCAAACCGGUAAGGGUGAAAGGGUGCGGUAAGAGCGCACCGCGCUACUGGUAACAGCUAGCGGCAAGGUAAACCCCACCCGGAGCAAGGCCAAAUAGGAAUCCUAAGGUGUGGCUCGCACUGGAUUCGGGUAGGCUGCUAGAGGCUUGUGGCGACGCAGGCUUUAGAUGAAUAACUGCCCCCGACAGAACCCGGCUUACAGGCUGGCUCAAUUU